CCCUUAGAUGUUCUGGGCCGCACGCGCGCUACACUGAUGCAUUCAACAAGCCUAGCCUUGACCGAGAGGUCCGGGUAAUCUUUGAAACUGCAUCGUGAUGGGGCUAGAUUAUUGCAAUUAUUAAUCUUCAACGAGGAAUGCCUAGUAAGCGUGAUUCAUCAAAUCGCGUUGAUUACGUCCCUGCCCUUUGUACACACCGCCCGUCGCACCUACCGAUUGAAUGGUCCGGUGAAAUCUUCGGAUUGAGACUUUGAUUUCUUCACGGAAAACGCUGUUUUAAAAAGUUGAUUAAACCUUACCAUUUAGAGGAAGGUGAAGUCGUAACA
RNAcentral lists this ribosomal RNA (326 nucleotides) under uncultured eukaryote. Its description in RNAcentral is "partial 18S ribosomal RNA". It matches the Rfam family "Eukaryotic small subunit ribosomal RNA", at positions 1470 to 1796 of the family's 1831-position model. The record is from RNAcentral.